RNAcentral lists this unclassified non-coding RNA (287 nucleotides) under uncultured fungus. RNAcentral describes it as "partial contains 5.8S ribosomal RNA, internal transcribed spacer 2, and large subunit ribosomal RNA". The stretch from base 1 to 52 matches the Rfam family "5.8S ribosomal RNA", at positions 103 to 154 of the family's 154-position model. The record is from RNAcentral. Lineage: Eukaryota; Fungi.
AACGCACAUUGCGCCCGCCAGUAUUCUGGCGGGCAUGCCUGUUCGAGCGUCAUUUCAACCCUCAAGCCCCAGCGGUUUGGUGUUGGGGACCGGCGAGUACGGAGGCGGGGGGGACUUGUCCCCUCUUCCCUCGGCGCCGCCCCCGAAAUGAAUUGGCGGUCUCGUCGCGGCCUCCUCUGCGUAGUAGCACAACCUCGCAUCAGGAGCGCGGCGCGGCCACUGCCGUAAAACGCCCAACUUUUUUAAGAGUUGACCUCGAAUCAGGUAGGAAUACCCGCUGAACUUAA